GAUGAACGCUGGCGGCGUGCCUAAUACAUGCAAGUUGUGCGGUAACAGAGAGAGCUUGCUCUCUGCUGACGAGCGGCGGACGGCAGAGUAACGCGUAGGAACAUACCCCAAACUGAGGGAUAACUGCUCGAAAGAGUAGCUAAUACCGCAUAUGGUCUUCGGAUUAAAGCUUCGGCGGUUUGGGAGUGGCCUGCGUCCGAUUAGCUAGUUGGUGAGGUAAUUGCUCACCAAGGCGACGAUCGGUAGCUGGUCUGAGAGGAUGAUCAGCCUGACUGGAACUGAGAACGGUCCAGACUCCUACGGGAGGCAGCAGUAGGGAAUUUUCCACAAUGGGCGAAAGCCUGAUGGAGCAACGCCGCGUGCAGGAUGAAUGCCUUCGGGUUGUAAACUGCUUUUCUGUGUGAAGAAUAUGACGGUAACACAGGAAUAAGGGUCGGCUAACUACGUG
RNAcentral lists this ribosomal RNA (448 nucleotides) under uncultured bacterium. RNAcentral's name for it is "bacterial SSU rRNA". It matches the Rfam family "Bacterial small subunit ribosomal RNA", at positions 28 to 507 of the family's 1533-position model. RNAcentral also lists the same sequence under 1 other name. The record is from RNAcentral.